This 279-nucleotide ribosomal RNA is filed under the name Penicillium camemberti. Its description in RNAcentral is "partial large subunit ribosomal RNA". It matches the Rfam family "Eukaryotic large subunit ribosomal RNA", at positions 351 to 648 of the family's 3401-position model. The record is from RNAcentral. Lineage: Eukaryota; Fungi; Ascomycota; Eurotiomycetes; Eurotiales; Aspergillaceae.
GAGUGAUCGAAAGAUGAAAAGCACUUUGAAAAGAGAGUUAAAAAGCACGUGAAAUUGUUGAAAGGGAAGCGCUUGCGACCAGACUCGCUCGCGGGGUUCAGCCGGCAUUCGUGCCGGUGUAUUUCCCCGCGGGCGGGCCAGCGUCGGUUUGGGCGGUCGGUCAAAGGCCCUCGGAAGGUAACGCCCCUAGGGGCGUCUUAUAGCCGAGGGUGCAAUGCGACCUGCCUAGACCGAGGAACGCGCUUCGGCUCGGACGCUGGCAUAAUGGUCGUAAGCGAC